ACUCAAAUGAAUAGACGGGGGCCCGCACAAGCGGUGGAGCAUGUGGUUUAAUUCGAUGCAACGCGAAGAACCUUACCAAGGCUUGACAUCUCCUUGACGGUCAUAGAGAUAUGGCUUCCCUUCGGGGCAGGGAUGACAGGUGGUGCAUGGUUGUCGUCAGCUCGUGUCGUGAGAUGUUGGGUUAAGUCCCGCAACGAGCGCAACCCUUAUCCUUAGUAGCCAUCAUUUAGUUGGGCACUUUAAGGAGACUGCCGUGGAUAACACGGAGGAAGGUGGGGACGACGUCAAAUCAUCAUGCCCUUUAUGUCUUGGGCAACACACGUGCUACAAUGGCUGCAACAAAGUGACGCGAGCGCGCGAGCGUAAGCAAAACACAAAAAAGCAGUCCCAGUUCGGAUUGUAGUCUGCAACUCGACUAUAUGAAGCUGGAAUCGCUAGUAAUCGCGAAUCAGCAUGUCGCGGUGAAUACGUUCCCGGGCCUUGUACACACCGCCCGU
Molecule: ribosomal RNA, 497 nt
Filed under: uncultured bacterium
Lineage: Bacteria
Description: bacterial SSU rRNA
Rfam family: Bacterial small subunit ribosomal RNA
Source: RNAcentral